RNAcentral lists this unclassified non-coding RNA (272 nucleotides) under uncultured fungus. RNAcentral's name for it is "sequence contains ITS1, 5.8S rRNA gene". The stretch from base 224 to 272 matches the Rfam family "5.8S ribosomal RNA", at positions 1 to 49 of the family's 154-position model. Lineage: Eukaryota; Fungi. The record is from RNAcentral.
UUUCCGUAGGUGAACCUGCGGAAGGAUCAUUACUGAGUUUUGAACGGGUUGUAGCUGGCCUAAACAAAGGCAUGUGCACGCCUGGCUCAUCCACUCUAACCACUGUGCACUUUAUGUAAGAAAUGACAGAUGAUGACAGUUUGUCAGCGGAAGUCUUUCUUAUGUUUUUAUUACCAACAUCAUAGUAACAGAAUGUUCAAUUGCAUAUAAUGCAUCUAUAUACAACUUUCAGCAACGGAUCUCUUGGCUCUCGCAUCGAUGAAGAACGCAGC